This 459-nucleotide ribosomal RNA is filed under the name uncultured bacterium. RNAcentral describes it as "SSU rRNA". It matches the Rfam family "Bacterial small subunit ribosomal RNA", at positions 26 to 518 of the family's 1533-position model. The record is from RNAcentral.
AGAAUCAACGCUGGCGGCGUGCCUAACACAUGCAAGUCGAACGAGAAAGUGGAGCAAUCCAUGAGUAAAGUGGCGCACGGGUGAGUAACACGUGAUUAACCUACCCUUGAGUGGGGGAUAACCUAGGGAAACCUGGGCUAAUACUGCAUAAUACCUUCGGGUCAAAGGAGCAAUUCGCUUUAGGAGGGGGUCGCGGCCGAUUAGUUAGUUGGCGGGGUAAUGGCCCACCAAGACUGUGAUCGGUAUCCGGCCUGAGAGGGCGCACGGACACACUGGAACUGAAACACGGUCCAGACUCCUACGGGAGGCAGCAGUGGGGAAUUUUGCGCAAUGGGGGAAACCCUGACGCAGCAACGCCGCGUGGAGGAUGAAGCCCCUUGGGGCGUAAACUCCUUUCGAUCGGGAAGAUAAUGACGGUACCGAGAGAAGAAGCCCGGCUAACUUCGCGCCAGCAGCCGC